Molecule: unclassified non-coding RNA, 477 nt
Filed under: Bombus terrestris (buff-tailed bumblebee)
Lineage: Eukaryota; Metazoa; Arthropoda; Insecta; Hymenoptera; Apidae
Description: misc RNA ENSBTSG00005029841.1
Source: RNAcentral
AUUAUUUGAAUGAUAUUUCCAAUUUUCGACUUCGAUUUGUGAGAAAAAUUAUGCCAUAAAAACAUAACUCGGAACCCGCGCGCACGAUAACUUAGAAAAUGGCAACGUUGUAACAUGAAUGAUAACUACAUCACUGUGGGGGACGAAGCUCACACACAGACACAGCAAGCUUAACAACGCGCAUGUGCAGAGAGACAUGCGGCAAGCGCAUAAGACAAAAUGUGCGAAUUGGCGCUUAACAUUGAUACCGAGCAGACGUAUGAGAAAACAACUGGUGAUAAUCUUGAAUAAAGACCAAUUCAACACACUGCGGUGGACAAUACAAGAAAGUUUAUCCUCAUAUUAGGAGUCUUGGAAAAUGGCAAAAUAGGCCACAUGUACGCCAAUUGUUACAAUCCAAUAUCGACAUGCAUCAUUUAUGAAUUAUUGCUAAAACUAGGAUGUUAUAUAGACGAGAACAUAAAAGGAGUUUGCUGU